UACAGAGGUCCCGAGCGUUGUUCGGAGUUACUGGGCGUAAAGAGUGCGUAGGCGGUUUUCUAAGUUUGGUGUGAAAUCUCCCGGCUCAACUGGGAGGGUGCGCCGAAGACUGGAAGGCUUGAGUAUGGGAGAGGUAAGCGGAAUUCAUGGUGUAGCAGUGAAAUGCGUAGAGAUCAUGAGGAAGACCAGUGGCGAAGGCGGGUCUCUGGACAGUUCCUGACACUGAGGCACGAAGGCCAGGGGAGCAAACGGG
Molecule: ribosomal RNA, 253 nt
Filed under: uncultured bacterium
Lineage: Bacteria
Description: partial 16S ribosomal RNA
Rfam family: Bacterial small subunit ribosomal RNA
Source: RNAcentral